This 477-nucleotide ribosomal RNA is filed under the name uncultured bacterium. Its description in RNAcentral is "partial 16S ribosomal RNA". It matches the Rfam family "Bacterial small subunit ribosomal RNA", at positions 28 to 506 of the family's 1533-position model. The record is from RNAcentral.
GAUGAACGCUAGCGGCAGGCUUAACACAUGCAAGUCGAGGGGUAUUUCUCUUCGGAUAGAGAGACCGGCGCACGGGUGCGUAACUCGUAUGCAAUCUACCUUUUACAGAGGGAUAGCCCAGAGAAAUUUGGAUUAAUACAUCAUAGUAUAUAGACUCGGCAUCGAGAUUAUAUUAAAGUCACAACGGUAAAAUAUGAGCAUGCGUCCCAUUAGCUAGUUGGUAAGGUAACGGCUUACCAAGGCUACGAUGGGUAGGGGUCCUGAGAGGGAGAUCCCCCACACUGGUACUGAGACACGGACCAGACUCCUACGGGAGGCAGCAGUGAGGAAUAUUGGACAAUGGGCGCAAGCCUGAUCCAGCCAUGCCGCGUGCAGGAUGACGGUCCUAUGGAUUGUAAACUGCUUUGAUACGAGAAGAAACACUGCUACGUGUAGCAGCUUGACGGUAUCGUAAGAAUAAGGAUCGGCUAACUCCGU